Molecule: ribosomal RNA, 484 nt
Filed under: uncultured bacterium
Lineage: Bacteria
Description: partial 16S ribosomal RNA
Rfam family: Bacterial small subunit ribosomal RNA
Source: RNAcentral
AUUGAACGCUGGCGGCAGGCCUAACACAUGCAAGUCGAGCGGAUGAAGGGAGCUUGCUCCUGGAUUCAGCGGCGGACGGGUGAGUAAUGCCUAGGAAUCUGCCUGGUAAUGGGGGAUAACGUCCGGAAACGGGCGCUAAUACCGCAUACGUCCUGAGGGAGAAAGUGGGGGAUCUUCGGACCUCACGCUAUCAGAUGAGCCUAGGUCGGAUUAGCUAGUUGGUGGGGUAAAGGCCUACCAAGGCGACGAUCCGUAACUGGUCUGAGAGGAUGAUCAGUCACACUGGAACUGAGACACGGUCCAGACUCCUACGGGAGGCAGCAGUGGGGAAUAUUGGACAAUGGGCGAAAGCCUGAUCCAGCCAUGCCGCGUGUGUGAAGAAGGUCUUCGGAUUGUAAAGCACUUUAAGUUGGGAGGAAGGGCAGUAAGUUAAUACCUCGCUGUUUUGACGUUACCAACAGAAUAAGCACCGGCUAACUUCGUG